GGACCGUGGAGCAGGGCGGGCUCGUCGGCGACUUCAAGUCGCUCGACAGCAAGUCGUGGUUCGACGCCGCCACGGUCCG
RNAcentral lists this transfer RNA (79 nucleotides) under Bradyrhizobium ivorense. RNAcentral's name for it is "Bradyrhizobium sp. CI-1B tRNA-Sec". The record is from RNAcentral. Lineage: Bacteria; Pseudomonadati; Pseudomonadota; Alphaproteobacteria; Hyphomicrobiales; Nitrobacteraceae.